Carassius auratus (goldfish) is the source of this 934-nucleotide long non-coding RNA. RefSeq lists it as uncharacterized. The transcript is spliced from 3 exons. The record is from RefSeq and is a predicted model, not a curated record. Lineage: Eukaryota; Metazoa; Chordata; Actinopteri; Cypriniformes; Cyprinidae.
AACAGUAAGAAGGAGAAGGGCUUCAAAUUAUAUAUUUCGAGCUACAUCGACAACUUUGAAGGUGAGUAUUCUCUCAUUUCAUGCUAAAUCCGACUAACUUUAGCGUCUCCGUUCCUGACCUGUCAUAGCGGUCUUUGUAUUAUUUAUAUAUUUUGUUAAACGUAAAUGUAUAGUUUUACGUGUUUUCCCUUAUGCCUAAAGUGCUUGUUUGUGCAGUGUACAUACAAAUUAUGGAAAACGAAUUGUUACUGACUUUUAGUAAUUUCUCAGUUUCCAGUAAGGAUCAGUUCACAGGAGAAGUCAGCGUGAGGGCGACAUGUUUCAGGUCGAUGAGGAAGUCAGAGAAGCCCCAUAGAUUGAGAGUAGGAGAACACAAAAGACAGCUGAACUCUAAAUGAAAUGCAAUUUUUAAACAGAAGUUGUUUGUGGGUUCUACAGCUGUACAAAGACAGGCAUAGUCAGUAAAUGGGUUCAUACGUGCUUCAAUUUAAAGAUAGUAGUAAUUACAGUAUAUGGGUUUAGAAUCUAUUUACAUAUAACAUUAAUUCCUAAUUCUUGUUUUUGUUUAAUUUAAUUAUAUUCACAGAUUGUAUUAAAGGACUCUCGUCCUGUAAUACUGUCACAGAGCUGUUGUUCUUGUGUUGCUGGGACAGCACUGUGCAACCACAUUGUUGCAUUACUCUACCAAGCAGCCCACUACUCUCAGCUUGGCAUCAGUGCAGUUCCUCCAGUUCACAGCUGUACUGAAAUGGAGCAGAGCUGGCACAAACCCAGAACAAUGGGAAUCAAGCCUGGUCCUGUCAACAGAAUGCUGGUUCUGUCUGCAAGACCUAAAGAGAGGAAGCUUGCUGAGGGGUUAAGGAGUACCCUUUACAAGGGUGUCACCAGUGAGCUGCCUGACCUCUCAGUCCUCCAAAUAGCAGAGGCAUAUAAG